This 253-nucleotide ribosomal RNA is filed under the name uncultured bacterium. RNAcentral describes it as "partial 16S ribosomal RNA". It matches the Rfam family "Bacterial small subunit ribosomal RNA", at positions 524 to 776 of the family's 1533-position model. The record is from RNAcentral.
UACGUAGGGGGCAAGCGUUGUCCGGAAUCAUUGGGCGUAAAGCGCGUGUAGGCGGUUCGGUAAGUCGGCUGUGAAAGUCCAGGGCUCAACCCUGGGAUGCCGGUGGAUACUGUCGGGCUCGAGUCCGGAAGAGGAGUGUGGAAUUCCAGGUGUAGCGGUGAAAUGCGUAGAUAUCUGGAGGAACACCGGUGGCGAAGGCGGCAUCCUGGACCAACACUGACGCUGAGGAGCGAAAGCCAGGGGAGCAAACGGG